RNAcentral lists this non-coding RNA (31 nucleotides) under Mus musculus (house mouse). The record is from RNAcentral. Lineage: Eukaryota; Metazoa; Chordata; Mammalia; Rodentia; Muridae.
UCAAUGGUUUAAACUAGGACUUACUCAUGUU